Molecule: long non-coding RNA, 1740 nt
Filed under: Pongo abelii (Sumatran orangutan)
Lineage: Eukaryota; Metazoa; Chordata; Mammalia; Primates; Hominidae
Description: lincRNA
Source: RNAcentral
GGGGUGGCCUGGGAGUUGGGGGCGGGGUCAGUCAUAUAAAGGCUGUGCCCAGCGCUUUUGGAAGCGGUAAGUCCAGCCCUAGGCUAAAGGGGUGUUAAUCACUGAAGGGAGGUAGAGUGUUUUUCCCCACCAGAGGAGGCAGCGACCACGUCUCCUCUAUGGAGGCAUUCAAGAGCCAUCCAGCUGAAGCAGCAUCACUGUCUGAGCUUGGAAGGCACAAUCCACAUCGGUCUGCAUGGUCCACCGAGCUGCAUACCCACGGGGCCAGCGGGAGGUGGGCAGCUGCUGGGCUUUCUUCUGAAGCAGACAGGAUCUCAGUCUGUUGCCGAGGCUGGAUCACAGCUCCCUGCAACCUUGAAUUCUCCCUCAAGCAAUCCUCCCCACUCUGCCUUCCAAAGCACUGGCAUUACAGGCCUAAGCCACCACUCCCAUCCACUGUAGUGUAAACUAUCUCCUUCAGUGUUUCCAGUAGUUGCAGAGCAGAUCAGAUAAGGGUUCUUCCUGUCUAUUGCUUCAAGUUUCAUUCUCUCUUUAAACGAUAUAAGGUUGGCUUCCAUGGUUCCUUCUUAAAGAAUGUUGAAGGUGUGUCUUCAGAUCCAUUUAGCGUUCAUGGAACCCCAGGGAAAGCUGAUGUAAAACCCUCUUUUUUCUCCCAAAUGUCUCAAAAAGUUGUAUUUUCUGGGUCCAAGGGAUCUGCAAGCCUCCUAAAGGCAUUUCCAUUGUCACCACCAUCAAGUGUCAACAGUAAUCUGGCACCUAUAGUUCCAAGAACUGUCAUAAUAGAUGCUGAAGAAACAUUGUGAAGGUAACUUGCUGUUACCAACUGUGAAGUCAUUAGCUAGAGGAAUCUUGGGCGGUCUGAAAUCUGAAAUACUGUGGAAAGAACAGAAAGAUCCUGUAUCUUUCCUAUAAUUGUUCUACUGAAAGUUGUCAUUUUACACAGGAGACAUUCUGUUUUAUUUAUUUGGUUUUGAGACAGGGUCUCACUCUGUCGCCCAGGCUGGAGGGCAGUGUUGUUACCACAGGUCACUGGUGCCUCCACUGCCUGAGGACUGCUCAAGCAAUCCUCCUACUCAGUGCCCUGAGGAGCUGGGGCCACAGGCCUGCACCACCACGCCUGGCUAAUUAUUUUUAUUUGUAGAGAUAAGGUCUAUCUUGCCUAGGCUGAUCUCGAACUCCUGGGCUCAAGUAAUCCUCCCGCCACGGCUUCUCAAAGUGCUUGGGAUUACAGAUGGUCUUGCUCUGUCACCCAGUCUGGAGUGCAGUGGUGCCAUCAUAGCUCACUACAGCCUGAGCUGUACUGAGCUCAAGGGAUCUUCCCAUUUCAGCCUCCUAAGUAGCUGGGACUACAGGUAAUGGAAGUGGGCAGAGAAUGAUCCUUUCCCUAGGCUCCAGUGUGUAAGAAUUAAAGAAAGAGGAAAGAAACACGAUGGCUUGAUGGUCAAGGACAGGUUUAUUUUAAAGGAAACAAACCCAAGAGUGGCUUCUGGCUGAGUUAGAUCAGAGAAGUGAUUUUCUUGAAAUGCAUGAGGCUGGAAAGGGAGCGGGAACUUAAAGUAGUGGUGUUUGUCCGAGAGGAUGGUGCUCCUGCUCUGUCACAGUGGGCAUGGGGAUUCAGGCCACUGCCACCAAAUUUCAGAGCCCAAGCACACAGCCCAGAACUAAAUUGUGAGGGUUUAAAAAAAACCAGCUUUAUUGAAGUAUAAUUGACAUACAAUAAACUUGAAUAUUUAAAGUGUA